This 497-nucleotide ribosomal RNA is filed under the name uncultured bacterium. Its description in RNAcentral is "partial 16S ribosomal RNA". It matches the Rfam family "Bacterial small subunit ribosomal RNA", at positions 28 to 507 of the family's 1533-position model. The record is from RNAcentral.
GAUGAACGCUGGCGGCGUGCCUAAUACAUGCAAGUCGAGCGAACGGACGAGAAGCUUGCUUCUCUGAUGUUAGCGGCGGACGGGUGAGUAACACGUGGAUAACCUACCUAUAAGACUGGGAUAACUUCGGGAAACCGGAGCUAAUACCGGAUGAUAUUUUGAACCGCAUGGUUCAAAAGUGAAAGACGGUCUUGCUGUCACUUAUAGAUGGAUCCGCGCUGCAUUAGCUAGUUGGUAAGGUAACGGCUUACCAAGGCAACGAUGCAUAGCCGACGUGAGAGGGUGAUCGGCCACACUGGAACUGAGACACGGUCAAGACUCCUACGGGAGGCAGCAGUAGGGAAUCUUCCGCAAUGGGCGAAAGCCUGACGGAGCAACGCCGCGUGAGUGAUGAAGGUCUUCGGAUCGUAAAACUCUGUUAUUAGGGAAGAACAUAUGUGUAAGUAACUGUGCACAUCUUGACGGUACCUAAUCAGAAAGCCACGGCUAACUACGUG